UGNGGAUUAGUGAUGCCUAUGGAUUGUG
RNAcentral lists this non-coding RNA (28 nucleotides) under Mus musculus (house mouse). The record is from RNAcentral. Lineage: Eukaryota; Metazoa; Chordata; Mammalia; Rodentia; Muridae.